Gallus gallus (chicken) is the source of this 1667-nucleotide long non-coding RNA. NCBI's taxonomy places the organism in Eukaryota, Metazoa, Chordata, Aves, Galliformes, Phasianidae. The record is from Ensembl.
CCACAAACUAAAUGCAGUUUCUCAAGAAAUGGGGGUUUGCCAAAUGCUCAUAGUGGGAGAGGCUACACAAAUAGCUGCAACAUGGCACACAGUCGCAUAUUUCUUUUCUCACUGCUGAGGAAGAAGAGGUUGUGUUGUCUUUGAGAAAACUUCAAUAGCAAGACUUGGAAGGAGCAAGAUGGAAAUUCUGCAGAGGCAAAACUGACCUGGGUGUCUCUGCUCUGGUUGGUCUGACAUCUGAGCUGCUCUGCUUUGGAAGGGGAGCUUAGUAAGAAGGAUUCUCUGAAGCACAUAGGAAGAAAGAAGGACUUGUUUUCCUGUUCCGUAGAAGCUUUUCAUAACCCCCCCAUAAGGCUCCAUAAGGGCAGGCUUUGGCUUGAAAUCACAGCUUCAGUGCUCAAGGUUUAUCCCUGUCUGCUUUCCCUUCAUCCUUCUUCACGUGGCUUAAGGAAAAAUUUGUUGUGCUCCAGUAUCCAACCUAUGUAUGAACAGACACAGCUUUUUCUAGCAUGCUCAGCAAACGUUUCAGUGUUCAUCAGAAAACAGCUCUUUGAAGUCAUUCUUUAUUACUCGAAACCUGUUUGUGGGUCUUGCUUGUUGAACAGAAUUGUUCUUACUCUUUGAUCGGAUGAAGUGCUUGAGCAAAUUCAGUGGAAACGUGCAUGUGGAGAUAUAAAAGUGUGGGGAUUUUUGUGCUUAGCUACCAAAUGUUAAUGUUUGCUGGAAAUAAAAUUGCUUGCAUGAAUGUCUUAAGCUCAACAUAAAAGGAUGAUGAUACACAAUUGAGGAAAAUGUAUUAUAAAUUAAAAACAAAAGCAAGCAAACAAACAAAAAUCAAACAACAAACCAAAAUAUUUUAAUGUAAUUUUCACAGUCCCGUUGCUCUUUGUAUCACUUCUGUGCUUCUCCGUAUUGCAGUGCAAUCUUCUGAAGCUGGAGAAUUAUUUCUCUUGAUUUAAUUUUGUAUAAUAUCUCAGUCCUCCUUUCUACUCAGGACUGGUCGCAUUCAUUCAAAUAAAUAGUCAGCUUCUAUAUUCCUAUUAUGUUCCAGGCACUUUUGCUGUUUCCAGUUGGAUUGGCUUGGGUAGUCUUCCUUCUUUUCUCCUUCACACCCACUCGUGAGCUGUAGAACAGUUGUCAUGUGGCAGGCUCAUGUGCUGCAUCUGGACACACAGUCAUGUUUGUAGACUGAGAUGGUAAGAGUGGUGAAGAGCAUUCAGUUCUAACCACCCCUGUUCCUGCAUUUAUGAUUUCCUCAGACUUUUGCAUCAUUAGAUGACUUUUAUUCCAGCAUUUGCUUUGCCUCAAAAAACUGAGGGAAAAUAAAAAUAUUUUAACAUAAACAUUGUUACAUAUUGUUGAAGAUCAGUUAUGAUGUAACAUGCCUGUAUGAACCAGUGAUUAUCUGAAAAUAGAUUAAUAUUAAUGAAGUUGAUAUUAGGUGUAUAAUUUAUUUGUAUGUAUUUUUGGAACUUAGAUAUGCCUCUGUAUGAAUGACGUGUCCGGCAGUUGAAUUCUUUGCCUCUAUGUGGUCAGCAGAAAAUAAAAAUAGUCAAAGUUCUUCUCUCAGCCCACAUAACUUAGCAAAGAAAAAGAGGCUUUGCAUUUUCCUUGUCUCUGUGUUUAAAAUCACAAAAAUUAAUAAAGAGAAAAGCUUUUGAAUCCCG